RNAcentral lists this ribosomal RNA (253 nucleotides) under uncultured bacterium. RNAcentral's name for it is "partial 16S ribosomal RNA". It matches the Rfam family "Bacterial small subunit ribosomal RNA", at positions 524 to 776 of the family's 1533-position model. The record is from RNAcentral.
UACGUAGGGUGCAAGCGUUAUUCGGAAUUACUGGGCGUAAAGCGUGCGCAGGCGGUUUUGUAAGUCAGAUGUGAAAUCCCCGGGCUUAACCUGGGAACUGCGUUUGAAACUACAAGGCUAGAGUGUGGCAGAGGGGGGUGGAAUUCCACGUGUAGCAGUGAAAUGCGUAGAUAUGCGGAGGAACACCGAUGGCGAAGGCAAUCCCCUGGGCCUGCACUGACGCUCAUGCACGAAAGCGUGGGGAGCAAACAGG